GUCAAAAGCUUCCACGGGUUCUGCUCCGGCGAAAAAGAAGGCGGCAGGAAAACCAGCAGCGAAGAAAGCGCCGGCUAAGAAAAAGCCAGCUGCUGCUUCGAAGUCUAAAGCUCCUGCUAAGCCCAAAGGAAAAGGGAAAGCUAAGCCUGCUGCCAAGGCUAAGCCGGCUGCCAAGGCGAAACCGGCCGCCAAAGCUAAGCCCGCUCCCAAGGCUAAGGCCGCUGCUCCAGCGAAGACAAAGUCAGCUGCGAAGCCUAAGGCUGCAACAAAGCCGGCAGCUAAGGUUGCGAAGACAUCGACUAGAACGACACCGGGAAAGAAAGCAGCAGCUCCCAAGCCGGCGGCGA
This 347-nucleotide long non-coding RNA is filed under the name Lactuca sativa (garden lettuce). RNAcentral describes it as "long non-coding RNA (LSAT_LNC009131)". The record is from RNAcentral. Lineage: Eukaryota; Viridiplantae; Streptophyta; Magnoliopsida; Asterales; Asteraceae.